This 176-nucleotide small nuclear RNA is filed under the name Meriones unguiculatus (Mongolian gerbil). RNAcentral's name for it is "U2 spliceosomal RNA (ENSMUGG00000023120.1)". It matches the Rfam family "U2 spliceosomal RNA". From Rfam's summary of the family: U2 is a small nuclear RNA (snRNA) component of the spliceosome (involved in pre-mRNA splicing). Complementary binding between U2 snRNA (in an area lying towards the 5' end but 3' to hairpin I) and the branchpoint sequence (BPS) of the intron results the bulging out of an unpaired adenosine, on the BPS, which initiates a nucleophilic attack at the intronic 5' splice site, thus starting the first of two transesterification reactions that mediate splicing. Lineage: Eukaryota; Metazoa; Chordata; Mammalia; Rodentia; Muridae. The record is from RNAcentral.
AUUGCUUCUCAGCCUUUUGGCUAAGAUCAAGUGUAGUAUCAAGUGUAGUAUCUGUUCUUAUCAGUUUAAUAUCUGAUACGUCCUCUAUCCGAGGACAAUAUAUUAAAUGGAUUUUUAGAACCAGGAGUUCGAGGCCAGCCUGUUCUACAAAGGGAGUCCAGGACCACCAAGGCUAC